GAGGAUGUAGCUCAGUGGUAGAGCACUUAACUAGCAUGCUUGAGGCCUGGGUUUGAUCCCUAGCAAUCCCU
RNAcentral lists this transfer RNA (71 nucleotides) under Cavia porcellus (domestic guinea pig). It matches the Rfam family "tRNA". Rfam says of the family: Transfer RNA (tRNA) molecules are approximately 80 nucleotides in length. Lineage: Eukaryota; Metazoa; Chordata; Mammalia; Rodentia; Caviidae. The record is from Rfam by way of RNAcentral.